UUCGCAGGCGGUUUUUAAGUCAGGUGUGAAAGCCAUAGGCUCAACCUAUGUAAGCACUUGAAACUGAAAGACUUGAGUUAAGGAGAGGAAAGUGGAAUUCCUAGUGUAGCGGUGAAAUGCGUAGAUAUUAGGAGGAAUACCAGUGGCGAAGGCGACUUUCUGGACUUAUACUGACGCUGAGGAACGAAAGCGUGGGAGCAAACA
RNAcentral lists this ribosomal RNA (204 nucleotides) under uncultured Eubacteriales bacterium. RNAcentral's name for it is "uncultured Clostridiales bacterium partial 16S ribosomal RNA". It matches the Rfam family "Bacterial small subunit ribosomal RNA", at positions 568 to 774 of the family's 1533-position model. Lineage: Bacteria; Bacillati; Bacillota; Clostridia; Eubacteriales. The record is from RNAcentral.